RNAcentral lists this ribosomal RNA (429 nucleotides) under Pseudomonadota bacterium. RNAcentral's name for it is "Proteobacteria bacterium partial 16S ribosomal RNA". It matches the Rfam family "Bacterial small subunit ribosomal RNA", at positions 355 to 776 of the family's 1533-position model. The record is from RNAcentral. Lineage: Bacteria; Pseudomonadati; Pseudomonadota.
UGGGGAAUAUUGGACAAUGGGCGAAAGCCUGAUCCAGCCAUGCCGCGUGUGUGAAGAAGGUCUUCGGAUUGUAAAGCACUUUAAGUUGGGAGGAAGGGCAGUAAGCGAAUACCUUGCUGUUUUGACGUUACCGACAGAAUAAGCACCGGCUAACUCUGUGCCAGCAGCCGCGGUAAUACAGAGGGUGCAAGCGUUAAUCGGAAUUACUGGGCGUAAAGCGCGCGUAGGUGGUUCGUUAAGUUGAAUGUGAAAGCCCCGGGCUCAACCUGGGAAAUGCAUCCAAAACUGGCAAGCUAGAGUAGGGCAGAGGGUGGUGGAAUUUCCUGUGUAGCGGUGAAAUGCGUAGAUAUAGGAAGGAACACCAGUGGCGAAGGCGACCACCUGGGCUCAUACUGACACUGAGGUGCGAAAGCGUGGGGAGCAAACAGG